Molecule: transfer RNA, 60 nt
Filed under: Proasellus parvulus
Lineage: Eukaryota; Metazoa; Arthropoda; Malacostraca; Isopoda; Asellidae
Description: transfert RNA-F(TTC)
Source: RNAcentral
AUUUAGAUAGUUCAAACAGAAUAUAACGUUGAAAUCGUUAAGAUACCUUCGUUCUAAAUG